RNAcentral lists this ribosomal RNA (252 nucleotides) under uncultured bacterium. Its description in RNAcentral is "partial 16S ribosomal RNA". It matches the Rfam family "Bacterial small subunit ribosomal RNA", at positions 524 to 776 of the family's 1533-position model. The record is from RNAcentral.
UACGUAGGUCCCGAGCGUUGUCCGGAUUUAUUAGGCGUAAAGCGAGCGCAGGUGGUUUAUUAAGUCUGGUGUAAAAGGCAGUGGCUCAACCAUUGUAUGCAUUGGAAACUGGUAGACUUGAGUGCAGGAGAGGAGAGUGGAAUUCCAUGUGUAGCGGUGAAAUGCGUAGAUAUAUGGAGGAACACCGGUGGCGAAAGCGACUCUCUGGCCUGUAACUGACACUGAGGCUCGAAAGCGUGGGGAGCAAACAGG